CAAAACCAAACUAAAUCAAAUAUUGUAGAUUUAAUCUAUAACAUAGGUGCUACAAGAUGCGUAAUGUACCGAAUUUUUAAUAUAAAAGUAUAAAUAAAAAUAGUAUAAGAUACUAUUUUUAUUUAGACUUAAAGAAGUGAAAUAUAAGUCGGAAAUGAUUUGUGCUGAAAUUGGAAUGGAAACAAAAAAUUUAGAAUAUUCUAUAAGAAACGGGGCUGAUCUUUUAGCAGAAAAUUCACAGUGUCAGAAAAUUAUGAAAAUUUGAGAAUAUGUCGGAAUUAUUUUUAUAAGAUAAGAUUUAAAGUUUCAUAU
RNAcentral lists this long non-coding RNA (312 nucleotides) under Ananas comosus (pineapple). RNAcentral's name for it is "long non-coding RNA (ACOM_LNC044001)". Lineage: Eukaryota; Viridiplantae; Streptophyta; Magnoliopsida; Poales; Bromeliaceae. The record is from RNAcentral.